Molecule: ribosomal RNA, 253 nt
Filed under: uncultured bacterium
Lineage: Bacteria
Description: partial 16S ribosomal RNA
Rfam family: Bacterial small subunit ribosomal RNA
Source: RNAcentral
UACGUAGGGUGCGAGCGUUGCCCGGAUUUAUUGGGCGUAAAGGGCGCGUAGGCGGCUUGGCACGUCCGUUGUGAAAUCGCCCGGCUCAACUGGGCGGGGUCAGCGGAUACGGCCGAGCUUGAGCAAGCUAGGGGGCAAUGGAAUUCCCGGUGUAGUGGUGGAAUGCGUAGAUAUCGUAAGGAAGACCAGUGGCGAAGGCGGGUCUCUGGACAGUUCCUGACGCUGAGGCACGAAGGUCAGGGGAGCAAACGGG